RNAcentral lists this ribosomal RNA (314 nucleotides) under uncultured Desulfurococcaceae archaeon. RNAcentral's name for it is "bacterial SSU rRNA". It matches the Rfam family "Archaeal small subunit ribosomal RNA", at positions 1018 to 1340 of the family's 1478-position model. Lineage: Archaea; Thermoproteati; Thermoproteota; Thermoprotei; Desulfurococcales; Desulfurococcaceae. The record is from RNAcentral.
GAGGUGUCUGGUUAAGUCCAGGAACGAGCGAGACCCUCACCCCUAGUUGCCACCGCGCAAGCGGGCACACUAGGGGGACCGCCACCGCUAAGGUGGAGGAGGGAGGGGGCAACGGCAGGUCAGCAUGCCCCGAAUCCCCCGGGCCGCACGCGGGCUGCAAUGGUGGAGACAAUGGGUUCCGAACCCGAAAGGGGGAGGUAAUCCUUGAAACUCCACCGUAGUUGGGAUCGAGGGCUGCAACCCGCCCUCGUGAACCUGGAAUCCCCAGUAAUCGCGUGUCAUCAUCGCGCGGUGAACACGUCCCCGCUCCUUGU